GAUGAACGCUGGCGGCGUGCCUAAUACAUGCAAGUCGAGCGAACGGACGAGAAGCUUGCUUUUCUGAUGUUAGCGGCGGACGGGUGAGUAACACGUGGAUAACCUACCUAUAAGACUGGGAUAACUUCGGGAAACCGGAGCUAAUACCGGAUAAUAUUUUGAACCGCAUGGUUCAAAAGUGAAAGACGGUCUUGCUGUCACUUAUAGAUGGAUCCGCGCUGCAUUAGCUAGUUGGUAAGGUAACGGCUUACCAAGGCAACGAUGCAUAGCCGACCUGAGAGGGUGAUCGGCCACACUGAAACUGAGACACGGUCCAGACUCCUACGGGAGGCAGCAGUAGGGAAUCUUCCGCAAUGGGCGAAAGCCUGACGGAGCAACGCCGCGUGAGUGAUGAAGGUCUUCGGAUCGUAAACCUCUGUUAUUAGGGAAGAACAUAUGUGUAAGUAACUGUGCACAUCUUGACGGUACCAAAUCAGAAAGCCCCGGCUAACUACGU
This 496-nucleotide ribosomal RNA is filed under the name uncultured bacterium. RNAcentral's name for it is "partial 16S ribosomal RNA". It matches the Rfam family "Bacterial small subunit ribosomal RNA", at positions 28 to 506 of the family's 1533-position model. The record is from RNAcentral.